UGGCACUGUCUUUGAACCUUUGCUGUCCUCCUCAUGGCAUCACAGGCCAAGCUACAGUGCAAAAUCAAAGGUUUGUUAUAACUGGGGCUAUUUGGUUUUUCACCCCUGAGUUGCUCUUUUAAAAGCAAACUACAAUU
Small nucleolar RNA from Astyanax mexicanus (Mexican tetra), 137 nucleotides. The record is from Ensembl. Lineage: Eukaryota; Metazoa; Chordata; Actinopteri; Characiformes; Acestrorhamphidae.